Rhea pennata is the source of this 5240-nucleotide long non-coding RNA. RefSeq lists it as uncharacterized. Lineage: Eukaryota; Metazoa; Chordata; Aves; Rheiformes; Rheidae. The transcript is spliced from 3 exons. The record is from RefSeq and is a predicted model, not a curated record.
GUCUGGGGGGUGGUGGUUAUUCAGGGGGUGGCUGCUGCCGAGCUGGGCUGGGCUGCUGAGCUGCUGCUGCUGCUUAAACUCUUUCCUCUUCUGGCUCAGCUGAGGAGGCGGCUGCUGCUGUGGUUGCUGCUUGUUUAAAUCCUGGUGGGGGCUGAGACUGGGUUUAAAGUCAGAGGAGGGGUGGCCGAGAGGAGGGUGUCCUGAUGCGGGGCUGCUGCCCAGCCUCUCGCUGCCUGGCUGCUGCUGUGUCACCCCCAGGAGCAGCUCAUCCUGCAUGUUUUGAUGAUGCGCAGCAGCGGCCGCCGACAGGAACAGGGAGGGCGGCGGCGACGCACCGGACACGCCGCCGCUGCCGGAGGAACCGGUUACAGCGGGCGAGAAGGGGCAGGAGGAGGAGGAGGAAUGAGAGGCGGCGGCCGCUGCCAGGCAGGGGAAGGACCUGGCGUAGCCGGCGCCUCCUACCCCCAACGGCGGGUCGGGGCUGCGGCUGGCGGUCGCUGUCUCUAGGCGCUCGCGUCUGUAAUCCCCCAUUAAAGAGAGGGGGGCCCCUCUGACACGGCCGCGGCCGAGCGGCGGCCCCCACCCUCCCGCGCGGAGCAGACAAAGAUAAUUAGCCUGCCGCGGGGGGCAGGCACCCGCCCGUCCUAAACCCCUCCGCAAAAACCGGGGGAAAAAAAAAAAAAAAAGAAAACCACCUUCUAGAAUAAAGCCCGCCGCCUGGACAUAAUCUCCGCUACACCGGUUAAAAAACCCGAAGCCUUUUGAUAAUAAAUAACCCCCCUUUCAUCCGUUUUUUCUUUCCCAAUCGUCAUUUAACCACCCUCCCUCCCGGCAGGGCAGGCCUUCCUAUCGAGCAAUCGCACCUACAGUAAUCCGCUAUAUCAUCACAGAUACCCGCGCGUAGGUCAUGUAUCCCCUUGGCAGCUCCCCCAUGGCAACCCCUGCGCCUGCCCCCGCUCUCGCUACACAAUAACGUCAGGAGAAGGCAGGGCGUUUCCAGGCUGGGCACCGAGCGGGGAGGCAGGCUGUCAGCGGCCCAUCCUACACGCACCCCCGGCGCCCCGCUUCCCGACGCCGGGCUCCGCACUGCCCUCGCCCGCGGCCGCCUCCCCGCCCCCAAUACCGGCUCGGCGCCGGCUGCAACCCCCUUUAAGAACGCCGGAACGUUCGUCACGGCCGCGUCACAAUGCCCGCCCCGUGCCCGCCCGGCCGACCUCGGUAAGGAGCCGCCGGGACCGCCCCCUCAUGAAUAAUGCACGUACCCGGCCCCGCCCCUGCGCCGAGUCAGCGCUCGCGCUGCCCAACGGCCGCGCGCCCAUCGCUGACGAGCGGGGCGAGCGCUACCACUCGCUACGGGGGGGGCAGGGGGGGAGCUAGCAGCCUCGAACUGACGCCCUGACGAUCUGCUUUUUCUGUGGGGAAGACACAAACUGCCGCUCGAUGACGUUGUCUGGUCUGAGUCGGAAUUACUGCAUCCAUUAGUGGCCGCUGUCAAAGAGUGGAUGGCUGCUUUCCAUUUGGCUGAUGGACCUUUGGACUCACCCAGUAUGUGCCAGGCAUCAGCCUCACCUAAGAGGCCCAUGGUGGAGCCAGGGCUGACAACUCUAUGGGGUUUCAGUCAGAGACUUACCGACAACGAACAUCUUUCUUCAUCCUGUGUUCUGCAGAAUCAUAGUUCAUAUUGUGUGCUAAAUUCUUUGUGCCAAACUGAACCAGCAAUGCUGUAGAAGAGAAAAUGGACAGACAAAUCGCAAUAAACUACACGGCAAUGGUUCCAAAGCAGCUGUGACUGGAACAUGGAAGACAUGAAAGGGAUCCUCAAGGCCGCGGCUUCUGAAUGUUGCCCCCGAGCAGUUAUCGCCUCUUCCAGAAAGUACCACGUACAACUUCAGUUCUUAUUUUAUAAAACAAGAAGGACACCUGCUACUUGUCAGUGCCAGAGAGAAGGUAGUGCGUGAGAGGAUUUUGGUCUGACGUGGUGCACUGUUGUAUUUUUUGCUUGAGCAGAAAGCUCCUAUUAGCAGUUAGAUGAGGUGAAAGGGACUGUGCCAAGAUGCUGCCUGUCUCUGAACAGUCUGUGGGUUUAGUUUCUUUAGAAAGCGUAAGUUUUUGAGGGCAGAAUCUGUAUCUUUUUCUAAUUAGACACCAUCAAACACCUGUUACCAUUUUGGGGAAUAUAUAAUAAGUCAUGAAAUUGAUAAAACGUAACUAUGGUAUGUAGAGUCUUACAUGAAUGCGGAGCUACUUCAGUGCUUCCUCAUUAUGCAAAUUAGUACUGAAAUACCAGAAUAUCAUGAAUCUAACAUAUAAAAAAGAAAAUAACUCAGACUGCUGCCAGAAUCUGCUGUUUACCUCCCAUUCGUUAGUUGGAAAAUCGCAGCGACUGAGAUCUUAAAUACGGGCUGCAAAUAGCACAUUAACAUGAAAAUUAUCUUUGCUCUUACCUCGAUAUUAAAUGCUUCUUUUCUGGCAAAUUUAUACAUAUUAAAAGUAAACAUGGCUACAACUAGUUAGCACUAGCUUCAAAAAACCUUUGUUUUGUGGAGUGGUUCAGCACAGAGAGUCAUGGCCUUCUUGUAAUGCAACAAAUAACUGUUUCCACAGCCCACAAUAUUUAUAGAAUUUUUCCGUGAUUUACCAGUCCAUGUGACCUCUCUUCCAAGUUUCUACAGCUACAAGAAAAUCAGGCUUUUAAUAUCAGCUGCUUCCCCCCCUCCCCGCCCUUUACUAAUUUACUUCAUUUCCCCAUCCUCUUCUCUGUUUUUUUCCUGGGCUCAUUUUUCAGAAUUCUCUGUCUAAGUAGCUCUGUCCUGCGCUCAUCCCAAGGGCUCUGUAAAGGGAUCUAUUUCCGUCUUACCUAUGAUCAGGCUGCUUUAAGGAAGUGCAGUCUGGUGUCCUGUGGUCUAUGACAUAUAUCUGCUUCAUUCCUCAGCUUAAGCUUUGAGAAGGGCCUGCAUAUGCAUUCCAGGAACAGCACAUUGUUAUAACUGGAAACAAAAAUAUAUGACUAGCUGCACUUCUGAUAGAGCUGCUUCCUCCUAACCUUAAAGUUGGCUUUCGUUAAUGGCUUCCCCCCCCCAAAGGGCUGCGGAUUAUUCAUAUAGAAAAGAAGAUGAUGUGGUUUUACAUUUCACAGGAAAAAGAGGUCUGCAGUUUUGUAUCAGUGUGUUUUAUUUACUAUUUCUCUGUUCUCGAUUUUUUAAACUCUGGAAAUAAUGAUCUCCAUACAUUCCCAUGAAGGAGGUAGGCAAGUUUUUUCCUCUCAAUAGUGGGCAUUCUGUUGAUUCACAGUAGCUUACAUAUUUUCCUCAUGCUUUUUUUUCAUAAAAAGAAAAAUUAAUGGUCCAGAUGUAAUAAAAUUGGAAAGGAAACCUUUGUUUGAUCAUUGUGUGUCAGGCUGAAGUUAAAAGCAGAGAAGACCUAAUGCCAUAGAUUGGCGUAAUUUGCUCUGUUCUGUUCUCCUUGUGCCCGUAUUAUAGUUGUUUCAUUUUAAGGGUAAAAUUCUAGACCCCAGUUUUAAAAUUCACAGUAGAUGGGCAGCCCUUUGUCCCUUAUUCAAAGUCCCACUUACAUCACGAGGGUUGUGCUGCCUGCUGAACUUUAAGGAUAUGGGUUCUGGUCACAAGAAUGCAAACCAGUGAUUUACUCUUCCCCCUCCCCUCCGUUUUGCCCUGGAGUUAACCAGCAUAUUAGACUAAUAUUUUCUUACUUCCUAGUGGCUGUUUCUGUUUCUUUUUUGUUUGGGGGUUUUUUGGUAGUGGAACCCAUUAGAGUUUCUCCCAAGAGAAUCACUGCCAAAGUAAACAAACAUCUUCAUGAAAGAAAAAUAAUGUCUGUGGAGUAUUAAAAAUUCCAUGUUUUACAGAAAAGUAUUUAUGGCAACCAACUAGUGAAUUAAAGUGAAUGAAGUCCUAUUUCCAGUGUGCUGCUGCUGCUGUACUAAUUGAAUGUGGCAAUUUCUGCUAGUUUCUCAGCUAUGCAGUACAAGUUCUUGGUAUUAAUUGUAGUUUAGGCUGAAGGAAAAGUAUGAGAUGAAACUCAAUAAAAAGAGGAUUUUUUAUUGUUGAGAAUUGAAUAGUACUGCAUGUAAAACCCAGGGGAAUUGCUGUUGUCUCCAAAAUGUUCUGCAUGUGGUUGGCAAGAACAACAAGGACAGAAGAAAGUUCAGCUAAAAUAUUCAUAAAGGCUGUCUGGUGGAAUGCAUUACAGGCAGCCAUAUACCUCGCUGCUGUUAUCCAUGAGAACUGAUAAUUUUUAACUGAGAUGAAACAUUCUGAGGAACAGGAGGCUGGCAGAUUUGCAGCAUAGAUUGUUUAAAGGUUUAAAUACUGUGACUAUCUCAUCUUAUUGUAAGGCUGUAGACAUAAUGUAAGCUUGAGUUACUGAAAAGUGAUAGAAUGUCUGCAUGUGUAUAGCCUACAAAAUUGUGAAGAGCUUAUUUUCUAUAUGCUGCAGAAUUCUGUGCUCUUACCAUGUUUUGUCCAGGAUUGGAAUAAUUAUCCAGUAGAGCAACUAUGUUUCAAAUUCAGUGAGGAUGAGACCAUCCCUUAUUUCUCUGUUUAGACAGAGGUUUGCACAAAAGGGACUGGUGCUAACUGGAAACGGUUGCCAACGUUAUCAUAGGUUUCAUGACAAAUGCUAAGUGUUCAAAAAGUAGGCGCUUCAGAUGAGAUCUCUCUUUAGUUCUCAAAAUGAUCUGUAGGAUUUUAAAGCCUAUGUUGUUGCUGAUGUACUCACAUAUCAGAUAGCAUUUGUAGUAGUCCUGAUAAUAUGACUGGUUAAUUUGGUUAUAUUGCCAGUGCAUAAGACAAAUGAUUCCUAUGGUAGAGAAUACGAGGAUUUUACUGUUGAUUUUUUCCUGUCUGUCACAUGCAGAAGAACAGUUUGUCCAGCAAUGCCUUCCUCUGUAGUAAGAAUACAGUAUUUUCUAGUCUUCCUUUCUAUGUACAAUUCAGACACAGCUGCCACUAUUUACCAAACGUGAAGGUGGUGUUCACAGCUCUAUGGGUAAGUUUGGGUUCUGUUGUAAAGAAUGCAUAAGACAUCUUUAUUAAUUACAUGAAUGUUCAGUGUGUAUUUAUAUAUCUGGCUACUGUGGAGGCUUCCUGAAAUUUCUGUCUCCAGAAACUAGUGUAACUGACUUGUGCUAAGAACUACAUUUUGGUUCCAGUCUUGGGAUAAUCUGUUCUGGAGGGUUGCACACCAUACUCUGACCACAUGUGAGAGAUGAGCUAAAAGAC